GACGAACGCUGGCGGCGUGCUUAACACAUGCAAGUCGAACGGAAAGGCCCUGCUUUUGUGGGGUGCUCGAGUGGCGAACGGGUGAGUAACACGUGAGUAACCUGCCCUUGACUUUGGGAUAACUUCAGGAAACUGGGGCUAAUACCGGAUAGGAGCUCCUGCUGCAUGGUGGGGGUUGGAAAGUUUCGGCGGUUGGGGAUGGACUCGCGGCUUAUCAGCUUGUUGGUGGGGUAGUGGCUUACCAAGGCUUUGACGGGUAGGCGGCCUGAGAGGGUGACCGGCCACAUUGGGACUGAGAUAGGGCCCAGACUCCUACGGGGGGCAGCAGUGGGGAAUAUUGCACAAUGGGCGGAAGCCUGAUGCAGCAACGCCGCGUGCGGGAUGACGGCCUUCGGGUUGUAAACCGCUUUCGCCUGUGACGAAGCGUGAGUGACGGUAAUGGGUAAAGAAGCACCGGCUAACUACGUG
Molecule: ribosomal RNA, 468 nt
Filed under: uncultured bacterium
Lineage: Bacteria
Description: partial 16S ribosomal RNA
Rfam family: Bacterial small subunit ribosomal RNA
Source: RNAcentral